Molecule: long non-coding RNA, 985 nt
Organism: Neoarius graeffei (lesser salmon catfish)
Lineage: Eukaryota; Metazoa; Chordata; Actinopteri; Siluriformes; Ariidae
Exons: 3
Source: RefSeq, a predicted model, not a curated record
UGGUGAUUGUUUUGAAGAAGGCGGAAGUGUUCGCCGAAACUGUCAACAAGCGAGUUUGUUAGGGAAUUGGGAUCAGAGCGCAGGGAUAGCCAUGAUACAGCGCCCCCUGGAGCAGAGAGGAUUAGGGGCCUUGCUCAAGGGCCCAACAGUGGCAGCUUGGUGGUGUUGGGGCUGGAACCCCUUGAUCUUCAGAUCAGUAACCCAGAGCCUUAACCGUUGAGCCACCACUGCCCGCAAUGCCAUGAGGGUCGCGGGCAAGCUGGACCCUAUCCCAGCUGACUGUGGGCAAGAGGCGGGGUACACCCUGAACAAGUCGCCAGAUCAUCGCAGGGCUGACCCAUAGAGACAAAUAACCAUUCACACUCACACCUAGAGCCACCAAUUGACCUUUGGACUGUGGGGGAAAAUGGAACACCGGAGGAAUCCCACGCAGGCACGGGGAGAACAUGCAAACUCCACACAGAAAGACCCCCAUCAGCCACUGGGAUUGAACCCAGAACCUUCUUGCUGUGAGGCGACAGUGCUAACCACUACGCCACCGUGUUGCCCAAUAUACUGCAUGAGAUUUAGAAACUUGAAAAGAUCAGUGAUCUACAUCCUUUAGAAGCUCUGGAUUUAAAACAAUGAUGUACAUGUGGUUCGACAGAACAUCCCUUAAUAACAGGAUUAUUGAGCACACUGUUAAAAUGGAAAAAUGCAGCCAUUGUCAGUUUAUAGCCUGUGUUUCUGAUUUCACCUGGGUGUGGGUUGUUAAUUUAAUUCUGUAUGAGUACGGAACUGUAUAGCUACACCACAGUAAGAGAACAGUAGGACAAACAGAGUGUUUUCUUUUACAUUUGGCUGGAGCUUGGAGGCUGUUUCUUUCCUACACCACCUGUCUAUAUGACUUGCCCUGUCAUUAAAUGCAGACCAGCUUUUCCUUCUUUCUCCCAUUAAAUCCGUGCAUCUGCCUAACUGAGGUCUAGUGUUUUUCUAACACCCCCUU